This 32-nucleotide non-coding RNA is filed under the name Rattus norvegicus (Norway rat). Lineage: Eukaryota; Metazoa; Chordata; Mammalia; Rodentia; Muridae. The record is from RNAcentral.
UNCAGAUAUUUAAUUUGUAUUAUGCAUGUAGC